CCUACGGGAGGCAGCAGUGAGGAAUAUUGGUCAAUGGACGAGAGUCUGAACCAGCCAAGUAGCGUGAAGGAUGACUGCCCUAUGGGUUGUAAACUUCUUUUAUAUGGGAAUAAACUGUUCCACGUGUGGGAUUUUGUAUGUACCAUAUGAAUAAGGAUCGGCUAACUCCGUGCCAGCAGCCGCGGUAAUACGGAGGAUCCGAGCGUUAUCCGGAUUUAUUGGGAUUAAAGGGAGCGUAGGUGGAUUGUUAAGUCAGAUGGGAAAGUUUGCGGCUCAACCGUAGAAUUGCAGUUGAAACUGGCAGGCGUGAGUACAGUAGAGGUGGGCGGAAUUCGUGGUGUAGCGGUGAAAUGCUUAGAUAUCACGAAGAACUCCGAUUGCGAAGGCAGCUCACUGGACUGCAACUGACACUGAGGCUCGAAAGUGUGGGUAUCAAACAGGAUUAGAUACCCUAGUAGUC
Molecule: ribosomal RNA, 460 nt
Filed under: uncultured bacterium
Lineage: Bacteria
Description: partial 16S ribosomal RNA
Rfam family: Bacterial small subunit ribosomal RNA
Source: RNAcentral